RNAcentral lists this non-coding RNA (268 nucleotides) under Selaginella moellendorffii. Its description in RNAcentral is "rRNA LSU_rRNA_eukarya". It matches the Rfam family "Eukaryotic large subunit ribosomal RNA", at positions 675 to 954 of the family's 3401-position model. Lineage: Eukaryota; Viridiplantae; Streptophyta; Lycopodiopsida; Selaginellales; Selaginellaceae. The record is from Rfam by way of RNAcentral.
CUAACAUGUAUGCAAAUCUGUGGGUGUUAAACCCGUACAGGCGAAAGGAAACUAAUCCCCUUUUGGGUGCAACACGGACCGACCUUGAUCUUUUGAGAAGGGUUUGAGUGUUAGCAUACCUGCUGGGACCCGAAAGAUGGUGAACUAUGCCUGAGCAGGGCGAAGACAGAGGAAACUCUGGUGGAGGCUUGUAGCGAUACUGACGUGCAAAUCGUUCGUCAGACUUGGGUAUAGGGGCGAAAGACUAAUCGAACCAUCUAGUAGCUGG